This 202-nucleotide non-coding RNA is filed under the name Roseovarius azorensis. The record is from RNAcentral. Lineage: Bacteria; Pseudomonadati; Pseudomonadota; Alphaproteobacteria; Rhodobacterales; Roseobacteraceae.
CUAGCGUGAACUCGCCAAGGUGCCGCCUCUCGGGGCGGAGAAUUGGGAAGCCGGUGAGAUUCCGGCGCUGCCCCCGCAACGGUAAGGGAGGGCGUUCCGGCGAUAUGCCACUGGGCCGGUCAUGGUCCGGGAAGGUGCGGGAAUGCAGGGUCGAAAGGCCCGCCAUCCAAGCCCGGAAACCAGCCGUGGUGCUACGUCGAAC